GACGAACGCUGGCGGCGUGCUUAACACAUGCAAGUCGAACGGAGAUUAUUAAUGAAGCUUGCGAUUUAAUAAUCUUAGUGGCGGACGGGUGAGUAACGCGUGGGCAACCUACCCAUAAGCGGGGGAUAACAGUUGGAAACGACUGCUAAUACCGCAUAAGCUAUUAAGGUCACAUGACCUUAAUAGUAAAGGUGGCGAUUUUACAUUGCUAUCACUUAUGGAUGGGCCCGCGUCUGAUUAGCUAGUUGGUGGGAUAGCAGCCUACCAAGGCAACGAUCAGUAGCCGGCCUGAGAGGGUGGACGGCCACACUGGGACUGAGACACGGCCCAGACUCCUACGGGAGGCAGCAGUGGGGAAUAUUGCGCAAUGGGGGAAACCCUGACGCAGCGACGCCGCGUGAGCGAAGAAGGCCUUAGGGUCGUAAAGCUCUGUUGUAAGGGACGAAUGUUUAUCUGGCGAACAGUCAGAUAAAGUGACGGUACCUUACCAGCAAGCCCCGGCUAA
RNAcentral lists this ribosomal RNA (505 nucleotides) under uncultured bacterium. Its description in RNAcentral is "bacterial SSU rRNA". It matches the Rfam family "Bacterial small subunit ribosomal RNA", at positions 28 to 500 of the family's 1533-position model. The record is from RNAcentral.